This 252-nucleotide unclassified non-coding RNA is filed under the name Hevea brasiliensis (rubber tree). Lineage: Eukaryota; Viridiplantae; Streptophyta; Magnoliopsida; Malpighiales; Euphorbiaceae. The record is from RNAcentral.
AGAGAGAGAGAGACAGAGAGUUUUGGGCGGGUUGAUAUUGAUUUUGAUAUGGCAGCAGCAAAUGGAAGUUAACCACCACAUCUGUAUAUCAAUCCGUAAGGAAUCAGAAAUGAAAGAAAAAAUGAAAGAUUUACUUUUAUGUUUUGUACUGAUAAGGAAAAUUGUAAAAAUCUUUUCUUUUCUCUUUUAUUUUAUUUUUUAUUUAAUAUUUUGUCCAUUGCCGACUUAUAUCCUCUCUCUCUCUCUCUCUCU